AAAAGCAUGGCACCAAAUUUUAGCUCCAAUAUUCAUGCUCAUAUGAACUACAUCUACAACAUUUGAGAUGGAAAAUUUUCUAACAAAAUUUACAUUCAAAGAAACAAGAAUAAAGCUUGUAACAUAUUACAACUUUUAAAUCACAAAACUAUGAACCACAAAACCCAAAAGGAUUCACCAACUACUAGACCUAGGCUCUGAUACCA
RNAcentral lists this long non-coding RNA (206 nucleotides) under Malus domestica (apple). Its description in RNAcentral is "long non-coding RNA (MDOM_LNC019319)". Lineage: Eukaryota; Viridiplantae; Streptophyta; Magnoliopsida; Rosales; Rosaceae. The record is from RNAcentral.